Molecule: ribosomal RNA, 957 nt
Filed under: Triticum aestivum (bread wheat)
Lineage: Eukaryota; Viridiplantae; Streptophyta; Magnoliopsida; Poales; Poaceae
Description: partial small subunit ribosomal RNA
Source: RNAcentral
AUGAAGACCUUUCUCAUCCUUGCCCUCGUGGCGACCACCGCCACAACUGCAGUUAGAGUUCCAGUGCCACAAUUGCAGCCACAAAAUCCAUCUCAGCAACAGCCACAAGAGCAAGUUCCAUUGGUACAACAACAACAAUUUCCAGGGCAGCAACAACAAUUUCCACCACAACAGCCAUAUCCGCAGCCGCAACCAUUUCCAUCACAACAACCAUAUCUGCAGCUGCAACCAUUUCCGCAGCCGCAACCAUUUCUGCCACAACUACCAUAUCCGCAGCCGCAAUCAUUUCCACCACAACAACCAUAUCCACAACAGCGACCAAAGUAUCUACAACCACAACAACCAAUUUCGCAGCAACAAGCACAACAACAACAACAACAACAACAACAACAACAACAACAACAACAACAACAACAACAAAUCCUUCAACAAAUUUUGCAACAACAACUGAUUCCAUGCAGGGAUGUUAUCUUGCAACAACACAACAUAGCGCAUGCAAGCUCACAAGUUUUGCAACAAAGUACUUACCAGCUAUUGCAACAAUUGUGUUGUCAACAACUGUUGCAGAUCCCUGAGCAGUCGAGGUGCCAAGCCAUACAUAAUGUUGUUCAUGCUAUUAUUAUGCAUCAACAAGAACAACAACAACAGUUGCAACAACAACAACAACAGCAACUGCAACAACAACAACAACAACAACAACAACAACAACAACAACAACAACCGUCAAGCCAGGUCUCCUUCCAACAGCCUCAGCAGCAAUAUCCAUCAAGCCAGGUCUCCUUCCAGCCAUCUUAGCUAAACCCACAAGCUCAGGGCUCCGUCCAACCUCAACAACUGCCCCAGUUCGCGGAAAUAAGGAACCUAGCGCUACAGACGCUACCUGCAAUGUGCAAUGUCUACAUCCCUCCACAUUGCUCGACCACCAUUGCGCCAUUUGGCAUCUUUGGUACCAACUGA